CUAUACAUGCAGUCGAGCGAAUGAUGAAGAAGCUUGCUUCUUCUGAUUUAGCGGCGGACGGGUGAGUAACACGUGGGCAACCUACCUAGUAGAUUGGGAUAACUCCGGGAAACCGGGGCUAAUACCGAAUAAUCCAUUUCACCUCAUGGUGAAAUGCUGAAAGGCGGUUUCGGCUGUCACUACUAGAUGGGCCCGCGGUGCAUUAGCUAGUUGGUGGGGUAAUGGCCUACCAAGGCAACGAUGCAUAGCCGACCUGAGAGGGUGAUCGGCCACAUUGGGACUGAGACACGGCCCAAACUCCUACGGGAGGCAGCAGUAGGGAAUCUUCCACAAUGGACGAAAGUCUGAUGGAGCAACGCCGCGUGAGUGAUGAAGGUUUUCGGAUCGUAAAACUCUGUUGUAAGGGAAGAACAAGUACGUUAGUAACUGAACGUACCUUGACGGUACCUUAUUAGAAAGCCACGGCUAACUACGUGCCAGCAGCCGCGGUAAUACGUAGGUGGCAAGCGUUGUCCGGAUUUAUUGGGCGUAAAGCGCGCGCAGGUGGUUUCUUAAGUCUGAUGUGAAAGCCCACGGCUCAACCGUGGAGGGUCAUUGGAAACUGGGAGACUUGAGUGCAGAAGAGGAAAGUGGAAUUCCAAGUGUAGCGGUGAAAUGCGUAGAGAUUUGGAGGAACACCAGUGGCGAAGGCGACUUUCUGGUCUGUAACUGACACUGAGGCGCGAAAGCGUGGGGAGCAAACAGGAUUAGAUACCCUGGUAGUCCACGCCGUAAACGAUGAGUGCUAAGUGUUAGGGGGUUUCCGCCCCUUAGUGCUGCAGCUAACGCAUUAAGCACUCCGCCUGGGGAGUACGGCCGCAAGGUUGAAACUCAGAGA
RNAcentral lists this ribosomal RNA (877 nucleotides) under Viridibacillus sp. AH29. Its description in RNAcentral is "bacterial SSU rRNA". It matches the Rfam family "Bacterial small subunit ribosomal RNA", at positions 49 to 907 of the family's 1533-position model. Lineage: Bacteria; Bacillati; Bacillota; Bacilli; Caryophanales; Caryophanaceae. The record is from RNAcentral.